AACGUAGGACACAAGCGUUAUCCGGAGUUACUGGGCGUAAAGGGCGUGUAGGCGGAUCAAUAAGUCUAUUCUGGAAGCUCCUGGCUAAACUGGGAGAGGCGAAUGGAGACUGUUGGUCUAGAGUGAGGAAGAGGAAAGUGGAAUUCCGCGUGUAGUGGUGAAAUGCGUAGAGAUGCGGAGGAACACCAGUGGCGAAAGCGGCUUUCUGGUCCUUAACUGACGCUGAGGCGCGAAAGCAUGGGGAGCGAACGGG
Molecule: ribosomal RNA, 253 nt
Filed under: uncultured bacterium
Lineage: Bacteria
Description: partial 16S ribosomal RNA
Rfam family: Bacterial small subunit ribosomal RNA
Source: RNAcentral